RNAcentral lists this ribosomal RNA (371 nucleotides) under Staphylococcus aureus. RNAcentral describes it as "bacterial SSU rRNA". It matches the Rfam family "Bacterial small subunit ribosomal RNA", at positions 1 to 361 of the family's 1533-position model. The record is from RNAcentral. Lineage: Bacteria; Bacillati; Bacillota; Bacilli; Caryophanales; Staphylococcaceae.
UUUAUGGAGAGUUUGAUCCUGGCUCAGGAUGAACGCUGGCGGCGUGCCUAAUACAUGCAAGUCGAGCGAACGGACGAGAAGCUUGCUUCUCUGAUGUUAGCGGCGGACGGGUGAGUAACACGUGGAUAACCUACCUAUAAGACUGGGAUAACUUCGGGAAACCGGAGCUAAUACCGGAUAAUAUUUUGAACCGCAUGGUUCAAAAGUGAAAGACGGUCUUGCUGUCACUUAUAGAUGGAUCCGCGCUGCAUUAGCUAGUUGGUAAGGUAACGGCUUACCAAGGCAACGAUGCAUAGCCGACCUGAGAGGGUGAUCGGCCACACUGGAACUGAGACACGGUCCAGACUCCUACGGGAGGCAGCAGUAGGGAA